Molecule: ribosomal RNA, 468 nt
Filed under: uncultured bacterium
Lineage: Bacteria
Description: partial 16S ribosomal RNA
Rfam family: Bacterial small subunit ribosomal RNA
Source: RNAcentral
GACGAACGCUGGCGGCGUGCUUAAUACAUGCAAGUCGAACGGAAAGGCCCUGCUUUUGUGGGGUGCUCGAGUGGCGAACGGGUGAGUAACACGUGAGUAACCUGCCCUUGACUUUGGGAUAACUUCAGGAAACUGGGGCUAAUACCGCAUAAGAGCUCCUGCUGCAUGGUGGGGGUUGGAAAGUGUCGGCGGUUGGGGAUGGACUCGAGGCUUAUUAGCUUUUUGGUGGUGUAGUGGCAUCCCAAGGCUAUGGCGGGUAGCCGGCCUGGGAGGGGGACCGGCCACAUUGGGACUGAGGUAGGGGCCAGACGGCUACGGGGGGCAGCAGUGGGAAAUAUUGCGCAAUAGGCCGAAGGCUGAUGCAACGACGUCGGGUGCGGGAUGACGGCCUUCGGGUUGUAAACCGCUUUCGCCUGUAAAGAAGCGUGAGUGACGGUAAUGGAUCAGAAAGCAACGGCUAACUACGUG